This 1111-nucleotide long non-coding RNA is filed under the name Trifolium pratense (red clover). Its description in RNAcentral is "long non-coding RNA (TPRA_LNC013888)". The record is from RNAcentral. Lineage: Eukaryota; Viridiplantae; Streptophyta; Magnoliopsida; Fabales; Fabaceae.
AUUUUUACACACCCCAUCUUUAAUUAUAGAUAUCCGAUGUAGGUAUUACACCAUCUUCAAUGGUAGUACUUAUUUUUUUUAAGUACUAAUAUCUAAGAGGUACCACAAUUGGAGCAAUAACAAAAUAGUACCUAAUAGGUACUGAAUCUAAAAUAAGACUUGGUACUUAUACUAUUUUUUGUGAGACCCUUUAAAAAAUAUGUAAAGUUAUUGGUGAGAUGUGUUAUUGGUAGGACCUAUAUAAAACUUUUUAAGAGUUGUUUGGUUAGAGGGAUCGAAUACUUAUUAGGUACUAUUAUUAAAAAAUUAUAAAUGAAUGAUGUGUACAUGUGAGACCUAGUUAAAUACCGAAAAAUAGAUCUAGGUAAUUAUUACCAAUAAUAAAUUGGUUAUAACAUGACAACCUAAAAAAAACUCAAUUGAAUAUUGUAGUAAAUAAAUUGACUCUUGUAUAUUCGUUAAUUGGUCCAAUGGUGAUUAGCGCUGGACUUGGUAGGGAUGAUCACAGUUCGGUCCUAGCAACUGCGAUCGGGAGGGGGCUGAAACAAAUUGAUGUCAGAACUGACCCCCGAACCAAAUUAAAUGGUUCAGUGAGCUGGAUACUGGUUGUGGAAAAAAAAUAGAUAUAUAUAUAUAUAUAGGGGAGGGAUCAAAUUACACUGNNNNNNNNNNNNNNNCAUUUGAGUAAUGUUACACCGCUCAAUAACACUUCAACGAAUACAAAUUUUACAAAAUUCAUCGUUGGAUUGAACUUUUAUAUCAUUUAGAUCAUUCAUGUUCAAUUUUACAAAAAUCUAAAAUGGUUUGAUAUGUUAUUGAGACUGAUCAAGAUUAACGCUUUAUGUGGUUUUAUUGAAUACCGUUAAGCUUGAUCAAUCUCAAAAACAUAUGAAAUGAUUUUAUAUUUUUAUAGAAUUGAACAUAAAUGAUCUAUAUGAUAUAAACUUUCAAUCCAGUGGUGAAUUUUGUAAAAUUUGUAUUCGUUAAAUCGUUAUUAAGUGGUAAUAUCACUACAAGAAAAAUUGCACAUACCCACGGCUUUUUUACCCAGGGCUGUUUUCCGUGGAUAAUACCCACGGCUUGGCCAUGGAUAAGGUAAAAAUAAGAAAAC